Molecule: ribosomal RNA, 322 nt
Filed under: uncultured eukaryote
Lineage: Eukaryota
Description: partial 18S ribosomal RNA
Rfam family: Eukaryotic small subunit ribosomal RNA
Source: RNAcentral
CCCUUAGAUGUUCUGGGCCGCACGCGUGCUACACUGAGUGGAUCAGCGGGUCAGGUUGCGCGAAAGUGUUUCCUAAUCUUGAAAUCCGCUCGUGAUGGGGAUUGACGGUUGCAAUUUUCCGUCAUGAACGAGGAAUGCCUUGUAAGCGCGGGUCAUCAUCCCGCGCUGAAUACGUCCCUGCCCUUUGUACACACCGCCCGUCGCUCCUACCGAUUGAGUGGUCCGGUGAGGCUUUGGGAUCUGAGCGGAAAGAGCGUUUCGCUGUUUCUGCCCGGAAAACUCAGUCGAACCUUAUCAUUUAGAGGAAGGAGAAGUCGUAACA